RNAcentral lists this ribosomal RNA (495 nucleotides) under uncultured bacterium. RNAcentral describes it as "partial 16S ribosomal RNA". It matches the Rfam family "Bacterial small subunit ribosomal RNA", at positions 28 to 507 of the family's 1533-position model. The record is from RNAcentral.
GACGAACGCUGGCGGCGUGCCUAAUACAUGCAAGUCGAGCGGAACCAUUGGAGCUUGCUCCUUUGGUUUAGCGGCGGACGGGUGAGUAACACGUGGGCAACCUGCCCUGCAGAUCGGGAUAACUCCGGGAAACCGGUGCUAAUACCGAAUAGUUUGCGGCCUCUCAUGAGGCUGCACGGAAAGACGGUUUCGGCUGUCACUGCAGGAUGGGCCCGCGGCGCAUUAGCUAGUUGGUGAGGUAACGGCUCACCAAGGCCACGAUGCGUAGCCGACCUGAGAGGGUGAUCGGCCACACUGGGACUGAGACACGGCCCAGACUCCUACGGGAGGCAGCAGUAGGGAAUCUUCCGCAAUGGACGAAAGUCUGACGGAGCAACGCCGCGUGAGUGAAGAAGGGUUUCGGAUCGUAAAACUCUGUUGUGAGGGAAGAACAAGUACCAAGUAACUACUGGUACCUUGACGGUACCUCACCAGAAAGCCACGGCUAACUACGUG